This is an RNA transcript of Culex pipiens pallens (northern house mosquito), 2657 nucleotides long. RefSeq lists it as uncharacterized. NCBI's taxonomy places the organism in Eukaryota, Metazoa, Arthropoda, Insecta, Diptera, Culicidae. The record is from RefSeq and is a predicted model, not a curated record. The transcript is spliced from 3 exons.
UGAUUCGAUUCCGUAAGUGAUGUCCGCGAAGCUAGUGACCAACUGGCGGUUCCCCAGCGGAUCGUUCUACCCGUGCUCGCUGUACAGUGUGGGAAACGAUGACAAAACCGUGUUUAUCGUUCCGGGCGAUCGCGAUGUCUACACGCUGGUGGUGAAGAACCUAACGGAAAAUAUCCGUUCCUGCGGCAGUCCGCACAAUGUGACCAACAUUAAGCUGGCGGACGCGAGCUUGGUGCAGAUCGUUGCGCUUGUGGAUCAUACCGUCGGUCUGAAGGAAAGUGGGGAGUUGGUGGUGUUUCCAUCGUCGCGCGAGUGUCGAACGCUUGAGGGAACAUCCGGAGUUCGGGCGAUCUGCGCGGUGGAAGGUGGAACGAAACUUGCUCUGAUGCGACUGCUGGAAGAGGACAGGCUACAGUUGGAGGUGGUUGACGAUGUGUCGGGUCCCCGGAUUGGGUCGAGUACGAGGACGUUCGAUUUGUCGUGGGAAAAGAGCGGAUUUCCAAUCAGCCGGAAGCAGCAAAGUUGUACGAUCGGGACGGUGUUGGUGCGAGCGGAAAGCUUGAAGUUGUUUCAACGAUUGCUUAAUUGCAAGGAUUUGGCUGAAGGGACGGAACUGAUACUGUUUACGCUUGAUAACGGACUGUAUUGGAUUAAGCUUGACGGUGAAAGCUACGAAGUCGUAGCGGUUAAACUUUUCCCAGUGAAGAUUAGGGAUUUUAACUAUGCUUCCUGUACGAGCUGCUUCAGCACACUGUUGGACAAUAAUGUACUGAACGUUUGCAGCAUUUCCGUUGAACCGGAAAAUCUUCUCAUCCAGGAGUCAAACAUCUGCCUGGGACACUGCGUAGAGGCACACGAAUUCGUUUCCGAAUUGGGACUUCUGGUUUACUCAAACGGUUCGCAGCUUGUCCAGCUGAAAUACUACUUCUCAGAACUCAGUAAAACCAUCGAGAAAGAAUCGAAGGAGUUUUCGCUAGCCGGCGUCGUCGCACUAACCUACCUGGAUCAUGCCAAAUUGGUAAUUUCAAUUACCGAAAACUGCCUCAUUUACUCAACACCGAUCACAUCCACCAACGAUCGGACUAACCUCCAGAAGAACGACUAUUUCGAACUGACCGACGAAGUCCUAAGUCAAGCCAAGCAGAUGACCUGCUUGCUCACGAACGAAGCCGAACUAAAUCGCAAAACCGUUCAACAAGUCGGCGAGGAAAAGACAAAGAUUGAAAUCCUUUCAAGCGUCUCGAAUCAGUCGUAUUUCAAAAACUUCGUCAAUGCCCACCUACGGUUUCACCGGGAGAUGCCGACCUUUUCGUCUGACGUAUUAUUGCUGGGAGAGGUUUCCGGCGACAUAAGACUAAUGGCCGAAGUGCAAUUUACGUUCAAGAACGAUUUCCAGCGAAUACUGAACCUGCAAAAGCAGUGGACGAUAGUCGUGGCAAUUGACGCCAAAGUGCACCACAUACAGCUCGAUGCAUUCAAUUCAGAUUGCAACUCCAUCCGCUUGCUGUACCCCCUCUCGGAGCAAUACUUCAUCCAAAAAGGACUUCCAACCAUUAUCGUAUCCCUAGUGCGAUUGGUCCACCACGCACGCGAUUGCCUUAGCCUCCAGAUACCAAUCAAGCUUCAAUCCAACGACGAUUUCGCCGACCUGCUUGAAUUCGGACGAGCUCAACCGCUCAACAAACUCGCAGCUGGGAGAAAAGAUCUGCACGAUACCAUCCGAUCGCUGAUCAACUUGAACGAGCGACGCCCGCUGCAAACAACUGCCAGCAUUGAGUAUCGCUUGAAAAUGCCACCAUCCGUUAGAAGUCUGGCAACCUUCCUCACCCGCGUUGGGUUUGCGGUGCCGGAAACGGUUAACGAAUCGACGGUGCAAGUUUACCUCUCCUUGGGAGGAGCCGAAGUGGAAGUACGGUGGGACGCAAUGGGCAAUGAGAUUUGCUUAAAAUCGUGCUCGCCGGCGAUUCUGAAGCUGGUGAAAACGGCGAGCUUCAGAGUUCAGUCGAAGGAUGGUGUAAGCAUGGACAAAUUGAAGACAAUCCAACUCCGGCUGACGCAGAGUGACCAACGAAGUGAGAACGUCAUUUCACUGUACCGGCAACUGCGUACAUCCACCAGCAACACGUGAACCUCGAUAGAAAAUCCUCCCCCCAAAAAUGGGUGCAUUUGCCCUAUGUUGUCCGAUUUGACGAGAGCGAGAGAGUUGUUGUUGGUGGUCUAAAAAGAAGGGAAAAGUUAUGUGGAGUUUCUUUAAAAUCUAAGUGAACUCAAAUUGAAGUUUGUUUAGUGGUUCAAAGUCAUGGACAUUCAGAAAACAGUGACAAACGCAACAUAAGUAGAGUGCAAUAUCGCAAGAGAAAGUAGUGUGAGCCAAAAAAAAGCUUGAUAUUUGGCACAAAACAUAUUGAACCGGGGAAAACAACGAUAGAAACCCCAAAUUGUGCUCCAAAAACAUUGGCCGCAAAUACAUCGAAAGCAGCAUAAACAUAAACUGAGCUGUGGGGUGUUAUCAUAUCCUGUCAGUCGCAGCAGAGUCUGGGAAGCUUUAUUAGUACCGACAUAUAGCUCUUUCUGUGUAUAGUAGAAGAGCUGCAUUGUCUCUCUUUCGAGUUGGGGCGUAAACCAGAUUCUGCUGCCGAUGGUUGGUGCUUGCUUGC